Molecule: ribosomal RNA, 545 nt
Filed under: uncultured bacterium
Lineage: Bacteria
Description: bacterial SSU rRNA
Rfam family: Bacterial small subunit ribosomal RNA
Source: RNAcentral
ACUCAAUAGAUACCCGGGUAGUCCACGCCCUAAACGAUGUCGACUGGUUGUUGGGGGUUUGACACUCUCAGUAAACGAAAGCUAAACGCGUGAAGUCGACCGCCUGGGGAGUACGGCCGCAAGGUUAAAACUCAAAGGAAUUGACGGGGACCCGCACAAGCGGUGGAUUAUGUGGAUUAAUUCGAUGCAACGCGAAAAACCUUACCUACCCUUGACAUGUCCGGGAGCCUGCUGAGAGGCGGGUGUGCUCGAAAGAGAACCGGAACACAGGUGCUGCAUGGCUGUCGUCAGCUCGUGUCGUGAGAUGUUGGGUUAAGUCCCGCAACGAGCGCAACCCUUGCCAUUAGUUGCCACCCGUAAGGGGGGCACUCUAAUGGGACUGCCGGUGACAAACCGGAGGAAGGUGGGGAUGACGUCAAGUCCUCAUGGCCCUUAUGGGUAGGGCUUCACACGUAAUACAAUGGCGCGUACAGAGGGUUGCCAAGGAGCGAUCUGGAGCCAAUCCCGUAAAGCGCGUCGUAGUCCGGAUUGCAGUCUGCAACUCG